UACGUAGGUGGCAAGCGUUGUCCGGAUUUACUGGGUUUAAAGGGUGCGUAGGCGGUUUUAUAAGUCAGUCGUUAAAGGCAGCAGCUUAACUGUUGUAAGGCGAUUGAUACUGUAGGACUUGAAUUAUUUCGAGGUUGUCGGAAUACGUAGUGUAGCGGUGAAAUGCUCAGAUAUUACGUAGAACGCCGAUUGCGAAGGCAGAUAACUAGGAAUAGAUUGACGCUGAGGCACGAAAGUGUGGGGAGCGAACAGG
Molecule: ribosomal RNA, 253 nt
Filed under: uncultured bacterium
Lineage: Bacteria
Description: partial 16S ribosomal RNA
Rfam family: Bacterial small subunit ribosomal RNA
Source: RNAcentral